GAUGAAGAACGUAUCGAAAUGCGAUACUUGGUGUGAAUUGCAGAAUCCCGUGAACCAUCGAGUCUUUGAACGCAAGUUGCGCCCGAAGCCGUCAGGCCGAGGGCACGCCUGCCUGGGCGUCACACGCCGUUGCCCCCCCGCGCCCCGCACCCAACGCUUUGGGAGCGACCGCGGGGCGGGCUGAUGAUGGCCUCCCGUGCGCUCCGCCGCGCGGUUGGCCCAAAUACCGAGUCCCCGGCGACGUGCGCCACGACGAUCGGUGGUUGAGAGACCUCUGUCGCAAGUCGUGCGCGCCCGUCGCGUCACGCGGGCUCGCAUAGCGCCUCGCGCCGCACCCGGUGCGGAGCUUUCAACGCGACCCCAGGUCAGGCGGGGUUACCCGCUGAAUUUAAGCAUAUCAAUAAGCGGAGGA
Molecule: unclassified non-coding RNA, 412 nt
Filed under: soil metagenome
Description: partial contains 5.8S ribosomal RNA, internal transcribed spacer 2, and large subunit ribosomal RNA
Rfam family: 5.8S ribosomal RNA (bases 1-122)
Source: RNAcentral